RNAcentral lists this ribosomal RNA (427 nucleotides) under uncultured bacterium. RNAcentral describes it as "bacterial SSU rRNA". It matches the Rfam family "Bacterial small subunit ribosomal RNA", at positions 355 to 774 of the family's 1533-position model. The record is from RNAcentral.
UGGGGAAUUUUGGACAAUGGGCGCAAGCCUGAUCCAGCCAUGCCGCGUGCAGGAUGAAGGCCUUCGGGUUGUAAACUGCUUUUGUACGGAACGAAAAGACUCCUUCUAAUAAAGGGGGUCCAUGACGGUACCGUAAGAAUAAGCACCGGCUAACUACGUGCCAGCAGCCGCGGUAAUACGUAGGGUGCGAGCGUUAAUCGGAAUUACUGGGCGUAAAGCGUACGCAGGCGGUUAUAUAAGACAGAGGUGAAAUCCCCGGGCUCAACCUGGGAACUGCCUUUGUGACUGCAUAGCUAGAGUACGGUAGAGGGGGAUGGAAUUCCGUGUGUAGCAGUGAAAUGCGUAGAUAUGCGGAGGAACACCGAUGGCGAAGGCAAUCCCCUGGACCUGUACUGACGCUCAUGCACGAAAGCGUGGAGGGCAAACA